Molecule: transfer-messenger RNA, 399 nt
Filed under: Flavobacteriaceae
Lineage: Bacteria; Pseudomonadati; Bacteroidota; Flavobacteriia; Flavobacteriales
Also listed under: 1 other name
Description: UBA8316 sp002695445 Standard tmRNA
Rfam family: transfer-messenger RNA
About the family: Bacterial tmRNA, also known as 10Sa RNA or SsrA, is named for its dual tRNA and mRNA-like properties.
Source: RNAcentral
GGGGUCGACUGGUUUUGACAGCAGGUUUCCAUAAUGAAAUAAGCAGGUCGAGCGCUGAGACAAAGCUCGUAAAUAAUAUGUUUCAACUUUUAAAUGGCGAGAAUAACUACGCUCUAGCUGCAUAAUCGACUGAAUUAUAGUAAGUCUUUGCCAUGUCCCAGCAAGGCUGGGAAGCUGGAUGUCUCUCGAUAGCCCUUGUUGACGGCGAUCGAUUUUGAGGCACCAUAGAUGUCAACAUCGAAAUACUAAUGCAUCGAUAGUAUUUUUCAAUAAAGAUGAUAAGGGAUUCUUGGGCGGUUUUCGGUCACUGAUUCUUCGAAAAUUAAACGAAAACUAAACUUGUAGAAAGUUUUAUUAUGUCUUGUUUGGACGCGGGUUCGAUUCCCGCCGACUCCACGG